UAGGGAAUCUUCCACAAUGGACGCAAGUCUGAUGGAGCAACGCCGCGUGAGUGAAGAAGGUUUUCGGACCGUAAAGCUCUGUUGUUGGUGAAGAAGGAUAGAGGUAGUAACUGGCCUUUAUUUGACGGUAAUCAACCAGAAAGUCACGGCUAACUACGUGCCAGCAGCCGCGGUAAUACGUAGGUGGCAAGCGUUGUCCGGAUUUAUUGGGCGUAAAGCGAGCGCAGGCGGAAGAAUAAGUCUGAUGUGAAAGCCCUCGGCUUAACCGAGGAAUUGCAUCGGAAACUGUUUUCUUGAGUGCAGAAGAGGAGAGUAGAACUCCAUGUGUAGCGGUGGAAUGCGUAGAUAUAUGGAAGAAUACCAGUGGCGAAGGCGGCUCUCUGGUCUACAACUGACGCUGAGGCUCGAAAGCAUGGGUAGCGAACAGGAUUAGAUACCCUGGUAGUCCAUGCCGUAAACGAUGAGUGCUAAGUGUUGGGAGGCUUCCGCCUCUCAGUGCUGCAGCUAACGCAUUAAGCACUCCGCCUGGGGGAGUACGACCGCAAGGUUGAAAC
This 554-nucleotide ribosomal RNA is filed under the name uncultured bacterium. RNAcentral describes it as "partial 16S ribosomal RNA". It matches the Rfam family "Bacterial small subunit ribosomal RNA", at positions 355 to 900 of the family's 1533-position model. The record is from RNAcentral.